UAUCCGUAGGUGAACCUGCGGAUGGAUCAUUAUCACGUAUCCACGUUUAUCAACCAUUGUGAACUGUUCUUACCUUUGAGAAGAAUUUUGUAAGUGAUUGGGGAGGAAAAAAGUUUGAGAUUUAUUUCUCUAUCUUUUUUUCUUUCUUCUUCUCAAAGUGUAUUUAAUCACUUCAAUUCAUUAACACUUUAACCAAAACUAUUAAACUCAUGUCUUAUCUAUUUUAUGCUCUUCACGGAGAUAACAUUCUAUUACGAAACAUAAGAAAAACUCUUAGCAACGGAUAUCUUGGUUCUCACAUCGAUGAAGAACGCAGC
This 317-nucleotide unclassified non-coding RNA is filed under the name plant metagenome. RNAcentral's name for it is "partial contains small subunit ribosomal RNA, internal transcribed spacer 1, and 5.8S ribosomal RNA". The stretch from base 269 to 317 matches the Rfam family "5.8S ribosomal RNA", at positions 1 to 49 of the family's 154-position model. The record is from RNAcentral.